RNAcentral lists this ribosomal RNA (1290 nucleotides) under Salmonella enterica subsp. enterica serovar Baildon str. R6-199. Its description in RNAcentral is "partial large subunit ribosomal RNA". Lineage: Bacteria; Pseudomonadati; Pseudomonadota; Gammaproteobacteria; Enterobacterales; Enterobacteriaceae. The record is from RNAcentral.
CCAUGGAUAUGGACAAGCUGGAUGGUUGUGAGUUUGACCUGAUUAUUAAUGCGACCUCCAGCGGCAUACGGGGCGAAAUCCCGGCGAUUCCGGCGUCACUUAUUCACCCUUCCCUCUGUUGCUAUGACAUGUUCUAUCAAAAAGGGAAUACGCCAUUUCUCUCCUGGUGUGUACAACAGGGCGCAAAACGCUACGCAGAUGGGCUGGGAAUGCUGGUGGGGCAGGCUGCACAUGCCGUUUUGCUUUGGCACGGUGUAUUACCGCAGGUCGAGCCAGUGAUUGAGCUGCUACAGCAGGAAUUAUUAGCGUGAACCAGGCCAUACAAUUUCCUGACCGCGAAGAAUGGGAUACUGCCGCCAGUGCUAUCAUCUUUCCCGCCCUGGUUAAUGGGAUGCAACUCACGUGUGCAAUAAAAAAAGAUGUACUGGCGUAUCGCUUUGGUGGAGAAACAGCGGAGCAAUGGCUGGCCAUUUUUCGUGAGUAUCGCUGGGACCUGGAAGAAGAGGCGGAAGCAUUAAUCCUGGCCCAGCAGGAAGAUGAUCACGGUUGGAUAUGGUUAUCCUGAGAAAGAUAGUCGUCUUUCCACUUUACAUAGUUAUUGGCGGAGUACUGCAGGCCCGAUCUCUCAGCAUCGCUCAAGGGGCGGAUCUGUUUUACCGGACUGCCAAGAUAUAAAUAGCCGCUUUCCAGCCGUUUGUGCUGCGGCACCAGGCUUCCCGCGCCAAUCAUUACGUCAUCUUCUAUUAUCGCGCCAUCCAGCACAAUGGAGCCCAUACCGACCAGUACGCGGUUACCGAUGGUACAGCCGUGCAGCAUAACUUUAUGGCCAACGGUAACAUCUUCGCCAAUGAUUAAUGGGUUGCCGUGUGGAUUGGAUGAAGACUUGUGGGUUACGUGAAGAACGCUGCCAUCCUGAAUGUUCGUACGAGCCCCUAUCGCAACGUAAUUCACAUCGCCGCGAAUCACCACAAGCGGCCAGAUCCCGACAUCAUCCGCCAGACGGACAUCGCCAAUAACCACGCUGCUGGUAUCGAUCAUCACGCGCUGACCGAUACCAGGAAAAAGAUUCUUAUAAGGACGUAAUGUGUCAGACAUGUCUACCUCAUCAUAAAUGAAUAGUCAUGAAGACUUUGGUUGCUUUAACGGCGUUGUGCAAGGGGAGAUAGCAUCAAAAAAUCGCCACUUUGCGCAGGAAUGGAGCGAAAGGGAUGAAAAAUCAACAAACAGAAAAAAAGAUCCAAAAAACGCUUGUGCAAAAAAAUGGGAUCCCUAUAAUGCGCCUCCAUCGAC